GUAGGCUGAAACUACGCCUACAUGAAGCUGGAGUUGCUAGUAAUCGCGAAUCAGCAUGUCGCGGUGAAUACGUUCCCGGGCCUUGUACACACCGCCCGUCACACCAUGAGAGUUGGCAAUACCCAACGUACGUGAUCUAACCCGCAAGGGAGGAAGCGUCCUAAGGUAGGGUCAGCGAUUGGGGUGAAGUCGUAACAAGGUAUC
This 204-nucleotide ribosomal RNA is filed under the name uncultured bacterium. RNAcentral describes it as "partial 16S ribosomal RNA". It matches the Rfam family "Bacterial small subunit ribosomal RNA", at positions 1300 to 1500 of the family's 1533-position model. The record is from RNAcentral.